Non-coding RNA from Marchantia polymorpha subsp. ruderalis, 110 nucleotides. Lineage: Eukaryota; Viridiplantae; Streptophyta; Marchantiopsida; Marchantiales; Marchantiaceae. The record is from the annotation of a GenBank genome assembly.
CGACUUUCAGGUUCCAGAGCUGCUUGAUUUGCCGGCUUUGUUAGUAUCAUCGUUAUAACCGCUGCAUAGUGACAAGCUGACAAUCGGGCAGAGCUGGAGAUCUGAAAUUG